Molecule: ribosomal RNA, 338 nt
Filed under: uncultured bacterium
Lineage: Bacteria
Description: bacterial SSU rRNA
Rfam family: Bacterial small subunit ribosomal RNA
Source: RNAcentral
AUUGAACGCUGGCGGCAUGCCUUACACAUGCAAGUCGAACGGCAGCACGGGAGCAAUCCUGGUGGCGAGUGGCGAACGGGUGAGUAAUAUAUCGGAACGUGCCCGGUCGUGGGGAUAACGUAGCGAAAGCUACGCUAAUACCGCAUACGAUCUACGGAUGAAAGCGGGGGAUCGCAAGACCUCGCGCGAUUGGAGCGGCCGAUAUCAGAUUAGGUAGUUGGUGAGGUAAAGGCUCACCAAGCCGACGAUCUGUAGCUGGUCUGAGAGGACGACCAGCCACACUGGGACUGAGACACGGCCCAGACUCCUACGGAGGCAGCAGUGGGGAAUUUUGGACC